This 1110-nucleotide ribosomal RNA is filed under the name uncultured cyanobacterium. RNAcentral's name for it is "bacterial SSU rRNA". It matches the Rfam family "Bacterial small subunit ribosomal RNA", at positions 389 to 1514 of the family's 1533-position model. The record is from RNAcentral. Lineage: Bacteria; Bacillati; Cyanobacteriota.
GAGCAACGCCGCGUGAGGGAUGAAGGCCUCUGGGCUGUAAACCUCUUUUAUCAAGGAAGAAGAUCUGACGGUACUUGAUGAAUAAGCCACGGCUAACUCCGUGCCAGCAGCCGCGGUAAUACGGGAGUGGCAAGCGUUAUCCGGAAUUAUUGGGCGUAAAGCGUCCGCAGGCGGUCUUACAAGUCUGUCGUUAAAGCGUGGAGCUUAACUCCAUCUCGGCGAUGGAAACUGUAAGACUAGAGUGUGGUAGGGGCAGAGGGAAUUCCCGGCGUAGCGGUGAAAUGCGUAGAUAUCGGGAAGAACACCAGUGGCGAAGGCGCUCUGCUGGGCCAUAACUGACGCUCAUGGACGAAAGCUAGGGGAGCGAAAGGGAUUAGAUACCCCUGUAGUCCUAGCCGUAAACGAUGAACACUAGGUGUCGGGGGAAUCGACCCCCUCGGUGUCGUAGCCAACGCGUUAAGUGUUCCGCCUGGGGAGUACGCACGCAAGUGUGAAACUCAAAGGAAUUGACGGGGGCCCGCACAAGCGGUGGAGUAUGUGGUUUAAUUCGAUGCAACGCGAAGAACCUUACCAGGGUUUGACAUCCUGCGAAUCCCUUGGAAACUUGGGAGUGCCUUCGGGAGCGCAGUGACAGGUGGUGCAUGGCUGUCGUCAGCUCGUGUCGUGAGAUGUUGGGUUAAGUCCCGCAACGAGCGCAACCCACGUCUUUAGUUGCCAGCAUUUAGUUGGGCACUCUAGAGAGACCGCCGGUGAUAAACCGGAGGAAGGUGUGGAUGACGUCAAGUCAUCAUGCCCCUUACAUCCUGGGCUACACACGUACUACAAUGCUACGGACAAAGGGCAGCAAACUCGCGAGAGCUAGCCAAUCCCAUAAACCGUGGCUCAGUUCAGAUCGUAGGCUGCAACUCGCCUACGUGAAGGAGGAAUCGCUAGUAAUCGCAGGUCAGCAUACUGCGGUGAAUACGUUCCCGGGCCUUGUACACACCGCCCGUCACACCAUGGAAGUUGGCCACGCCCGAAGUCGUUACUCCAACCCUUGUGGAGGAGGAUGCCGAAGGUGGGGCUGAUGACUGGGGUGAAGUCGUAACAAGGUAGCCGUACCGGAAGGUG